RNAcentral lists this long non-coding RNA (273 nucleotides) under Lathyrus oleraceus (garden pea). RNAcentral describes it as "Pisum sativum (pea) long non-coding RNA (PSAT_LNC019953)". Lineage: Eukaryota; Viridiplantae; Streptophyta; Magnoliopsida; Fabales; Fabaceae. The record is from RNAcentral.
GUAAAUAAAACAUUACUAAAUAAAUUUAAAAAAACUAAACUUAAUGCUUAAGAAAAGAAUGAAAAUGCUAGAAAAAUAAAAGAGAAAAAAAAGAAAAAAUGGGAUUGUUUUUGGAAGAAAAUACAAAGACCAAAUUAAAUUAACCUAUUCAAAUUAAAAGCUAACUCAUGCUUGAAUUCUCCUUCUCUAUCUUCUUCAUUGGAUUUGUUUAUCUUCGCUAAAAUGUCACGUGUAGUCCUUCCUGAAGAAAUCAUCUCAGAAUUCCUAUAAAUC